This 615-nucleotide ribosomal RNA is filed under the name Salmonella enterica subsp. enterica serovar Infantis. Its description in RNAcentral is "partial 23S ribosomal RNA". It matches the Rfam family "Bacterial large subunit ribosomal RNA", at positions 2259 to 2868 of the family's 2925-position model. The record is from RNAcentral. RNAcentral also lists the same sequence under 3 other names. Lineage: Bacteria; Pseudomonadati; Pseudomonadota; Gammaproteobacteria; Enterobacterales; Enterobacteriaceae.
UGGUGGGUAGUUUGACUGGGGCGGUCUCCUCCUAAAGAGUAACGGAGGAGCACGAAGGUUGGCUAAUCCUGGUCGGACAUCAGGAGGUUAGUGCAAUGGCAUAAGCCAGCUUGACUGCGAGCGUGACGGCGCGAGCAGGUGCGAAAGCAGGUCAUAGUGAUCCGGUGGUUCUGAAUGGAAGGGCCAUCGCUCAACGGAUAAAAGGUACUCCGGGGAUAACAGGCUGAUACCGCCCAAGAGUUCAUAUCGACGGCGGUGUUUGGCACCUCGAUGUCGGCUCAUCACAUCCUGGGGCUGAAGUAGGUCCCAAGGGUAUGGCUGUUCGCCAUUUAAAGUGGUACGCGAGCUGGGUUUAGAACGUCGUGAGACAGUUCGGUCCCUAUCUGCCGUGGGCGCUGGAGAACUGAGGGGGGCUGCUCCUAGUACGAGAGGACCGGAGUGGACGCAUCACUGGUGUUCGGGUUGUCAUGCCAAUGGCACUGCCCGGUAGCUAAAUGCGGAAGAGAUAAGUGCUGAAAGCAUCUAAGCACGAAACUUGCCCCGAGAUGAGUUCUCCCUGAGACUUAGAGUCUCCUGAAGGAACGUUGAAGACGACGACGUUGAUAGGCCGGGUGU